This 77-nucleotide transfer RNA is filed under the name Mycobacterium sp. Its description in RNAcentral is "tRNA-Thr". It matches the Rfam family "tRNA". From Rfam's summary of the family: Transfer RNA (tRNA) molecules are approximately 80 nucleotides in length. Their secondary structure includes four short double-helical elements and three loops (D, anti-codon, and T loops). The record is from RNAcentral. Lineage: Bacteria; Bacillati; Actinomycetota; Actinomycetes; Mycobacteriales; Mycobacteriaceae.
GCCCGAAUAGCUCAGCUGGCCAGAGCAGCUGUCUUGUAAACAGCAGGUCCUCGGUUCGAAUCCGAGUUCGGGCUCCU